GGCGGACGGGUUAGUAACGCGCGGGAACGUGCCCUUCUCUACGGAACAGCCUCUGGAAACGGAGAGUAAUACCGUAUACGCCCUUUGGGGGAAAGAUUUAUCGGAGAAGGAUCGGCCCGCGUUAGAUCAGGUAGUUGGUGGGGUAACGGCCUACCAAGCCUACGAUCUAUAGCUGGUUUUAGAGGAUGAUCAGCAACACUGGGACUGAGACACGGCCCAGACUCCUACGGGAGGCAGCAGUGGGGAAUCUUAGACAAUGGGGGCAACCCUGAUCUAGCCAUGCCGCGUGAGUGAUGAAGGCCUUAGGGUCGUAAAGCUCUUUCGCCUGUGAUGAUAAUGACAGUAGCAGGUAAAGAAACCCCGGCUAACUCCGUGCCAGCAGCCGCGGUAAUACGGAGGGGGUUAGCGUUGUUCGGAAUUACUGGGCGUAAAGCGCGC
This 438-nucleotide ribosomal RNA is filed under the name uncultured Leisingera sp. Its description in RNAcentral is "bacterial SSU rRNA". It matches the Rfam family "Bacterial small subunit ribosomal RNA", at positions 97 to 570 of the family's 1533-position model. The record is from RNAcentral. Lineage: Bacteria; Pseudomonadati; Pseudomonadota; Alphaproteobacteria; Rhodobacterales; Roseobacteraceae.